RNAcentral lists this transfer RNA (63 nucleotides) under Ultragryllacris pulchra rubricapitis. RNAcentral's name for it is "tRNA-Tyr". Lineage: Eukaryota; Metazoa; Arthropoda; Insecta; Orthoptera; Gryllacrididae. The record is from RNAcentral.
GGUAGAAUGGCUGAGUGUAAGUGAUAAAUUGUAAAUUUAUUAAGGAGAAUUUCUCUUCUAUCA